Transfer RNA from Felis catus (domestic cat), 85 nucleotides. It matches the Rfam family "tRNA". From Rfam's summary of the family: Transfer RNA (tRNA) molecules are approximately 80 nucleotides in length. Their secondary structure includes four short double-helical elements and three loops (D, anti-codon, and T loops). NCBI's taxonomy places the organism in Eukaryota, Metazoa, Chordata, Mammalia, Carnivora, Felidae. The record is from Rfam.
GCCUGGGUGGCUCAGUCGGUUGAGCGUCUGACUUCAGCUCAGGUCAUGAUCUCACGGUCUGUGAGUUCGAGCUCCGCUUUGGGCU